ACGAACGCUGGCGGCGUGCUUAACACAUGCAAGUCGAACGGAAAGGCCCUGCUUGCAGGGUACUCGAGUGGCGAACGGGUGAGUAACGCGUGGGUGAUCUGCCCUGCACUUCGGGAUAAGCCUGGGAAACUGGGUCUAAUACCGGAUAGGAGCCAUUUUUAGUGUGAUGGUUGGAAAGUUUUUUCGGUGUAGGAUGAGCUCGCGGCCUAUCAGCUUGUUGGUGGGGUAAUGGCCUACCAAGGCGGCGACGGGUAGCCGGCCUGAGAGGGUGGACGGCCACAUUGGGACUGAGAUACGGCCCAGACUCCUACGGGAGGCAGCAGUGGGGAAUAUUGCACAAUGGGCGCAAGCCUGAUGCAGCGACGCCGCGUGGGGGAUGACGGCCUUCGGGUUGUAAACUCCUUUCGCUAGGGACGAAGCUUUUUGUGACGGUACCUAGAUAAGAAGCACCGGCUAACUACGUG
This 464-nucleotide ribosomal RNA is filed under the name uncultured bacterium. RNAcentral's name for it is "partial 16S ribosomal RNA". It matches the Rfam family "Bacterial small subunit ribosomal RNA", at positions 29 to 507 of the family's 1533-position model. The record is from RNAcentral.